RNAcentral lists this long non-coding RNA (219 nucleotides) under Solanum tuberosum (potato). RNAcentral describes it as "long non-coding RNA (STUB_LNC004380)". The record is from RNAcentral. Lineage: Eukaryota; Viridiplantae; Streptophyta; Magnoliopsida; Solanales; Solanaceae.
CGAUAUUGAAGUUUUGGUUAGCAAAUUUUGAACCACAUCUUAUGAUUUUAUUCUUGUGUUUAUGACAUAUUUAGUCAUAGAUACCCCUAUACUAUAAGAAACAAUUUAAAUAUACUAUUCGUUGACUAGCAAUACAAAAUCUAAACACUUGUUGCAGCAAAUUAUAAACAGUGACCAUAUAACAAAAGAUUAGAAGAAAAGGAAUUGUGAAGAAGGAAC